RNAcentral lists this long non-coding RNA (1073 nucleotides) under Sarcophilus harrisii (Tasmanian devil). RNAcentral describes it as "lncRNA (ENSSHAG00000025519.1)". Lineage: Eukaryota; Metazoa; Chordata; Mammalia; Dasyuromorphia; Dasyuridae. The record is from RNAcentral.
AAAAACCCUUUGGCCGUUCCGACCAUGUGGUGACCAAGCCCUGGAAGACACAGUGUUUGCAGGUGACCAAGAGUCAACCUCAAGGGGGAUGUGUCCAGACUUGGAGGUGACCUUGAGCAUUCCGGGGGUCCUUGGUCCACGGCCUGAAGCGACUCACAACAAGAGGAGUUUCCUCAUCGAAGAAAACAAUUGCAGCAAAAAGAUUUCUCCAGACUUGUCCCAUUUUACCCAUAGAUAGCUGUUUAGAUAGUUGCAGGACUGGGGUGAAAUGGGGAAUACUACUCAGCAGUCUUGCAAAUGGCUUUGUGUUCUAUUGAGGUUUAAGUAUCAGCAUCCCAGCAGAUCGUAACCGUAGCGAUUAGUUAAUAGAUCUUAUUUUAACUUUAUUCUUGUCCUAUGUGGGCUUGUGACUGCUCUGUGUUUAGUAUUCCUUCUAUGGAUAGGAAUUAAAUACCUGUCCCAAACCUGAUUGAUAUUUGUAACUCUCCCCUUUUGAGAAAACCCUAGAUAGAAAACUAAGCUUUAAAUAAUAUAUCCCUUGGGAUCCUAGGGUGGGGGGAUUAGCCAGACAAGAAAGAUGAGAAGUGGGAAAUCUGGAUCCCGCAGGCCUGAGCUCAGGCCAAAUCUCAUGUCUAUUUUCAGAAUCAAGGGACCCCUUACUGGAAAAAGAAGGGCUGUAGCACCUCCCAAGCCCUGUGGGUCCAGCACGGGUUCCUAAGUGUUAGAUGUUGUUUCUGUAAUUAAUAUAUGUAUAAUUUUCCUAAUAUUGGAUCAACAUGUCAUUCCUGGUAUCAGUUCAACCUGGUCAUAGUUUAUAAUCUCUGUAAUCUACUGCCAAAACUUCUGCUAAUAUUUUAUGCUAUAUUAUUUUUAGUAGAUAUUUAUUAGAAAUAAUGACCUAUGAUUUUAUUUUCUGUGCUAUCUCUCUCUAUUUGAGGUAUCAAGAUUGUCUCCUAGAAGAAAUUCGGUAGGGUGCCAUCUUUCCCUAAUUUUUAAUCGAAUUUUUUAUUUUCCAAUUACAUGUAAAAAGUUUUCAACAUUUGUUUUUUAAAGUUUUGAGUUCUAAAUUCCCC